This is a long non-coding RNA of Halichondria panicea, 1126 nucleotides long. RefSeq lists it as uncharacterized. The record is from RefSeq and is a predicted model, not a curated record. The transcript is spliced from 5 exons. NCBI's taxonomy places the organism in Eukaryota, Metazoa, Porifera, Demospongiae, Suberitida, Halichondriidae.
CUGAGAAGCUUGUAUUAAACAAUUUAUGUCUACUACAGUGCAGCUUAAAGAGAAGUGAGGGAACCAAUAGCAAUAGUGUGCUAAUUAUUCCAAAGAUGCUCACAACUUGAAUCUGACUGACAUUUGUACAGUACACGUUUGUGUUGUUGGACACGUUGUCAUCUAGUCCAUCCAUUUCCCUUGUUUCCUUCGAUUCGUAGGCUGAGGAGGUUGAGUUCAACUGCACCAGCUGUGGCUGUCAGACUGCAACACUCUCCCUGCAACUGGCUAGACUACCAAGGUGGGGGGAGAUGAUUAUACUUUACACUGUCUUGUAUUACUAUUAUUUUUGGCUGCCGUGAGAAUUGGACUACUCAACUAAACAUGUGAUUGUUUGUUUAUCUGUCGACGGCAGACUAAAUUAAUUGCUGUCGCGUACGUUUGGUAAUAUUUAUAGCCUUUUUCAUACCUCCCAUAACUUAAACAGAUGUGUAGUGUGUAUGAAUCGUAUUUAUAGUCCUCUCACCCCCCAUGCAUGUACACACAUACGCAUGCACACACCCAUACUUACCCACGCACACGCGCGUAUGUACACACGCAUACACACACACACAUCACACACACACACACACUCACACACAUCACAUGCACGCACACAUUACACACACACACGAUUAUGAUACUCCACCUCAAGCGCUAUGGUUACAACUAUAUACCAGCUGUCUGAGAACUCUAAGAGAGUGGACAAUAUUAGAAUACCACGAUACAUCGAUGUUGGACACAUGCAUGGCCAAGACUCAGUAUGAACCACUCCUCUCUUCACUGCGUCCACACUAAGGUCACUACAUCAGUGACGUGUACUCGUUCCCUGAUCACAGCUGGCGUACUUACAAUGACUCACAAGUCAGUGAAGUGAGGGAAGAGGACAUUAGACAAAGGAGGCAGACCACUGGAUACAUAUUCUUCUAUCUCCACAGGUCCAUCUUUACUAACGUGUCUGUACAGUUUGGAAGAUAAUAAUGAAUGGACAAUCAUUACAAUCCAGAACAUAUGCAACUAUUAUUAUAGAUAUCAUAAUUAUGCAUAUUCAAUUGAUUUUUAAUUCUUAUUAUCAUUGCAAUUACGGUACACAUUAGCAGGAAAGUUU